UACGGAGGAUCCAAGCGUUAUCCGGAUUUAUUGGGUUUAAAGGGUGCGUAGGCGGAAUUGUAAGUCAGUGGUGAAAGCCCUUCGCUUAACGAAGGAACUGCCAUUGAUACUGCAAAUCUUGAGUACAUUUGAUGUGGGCGGAAUGUGUCAUGUAGCGGUGAAAUGCUUAGAUAUGACACAGAACACCGAUUGCGAAGGCAGCUCACAAAACUGUA
RNAcentral lists this ribosomal RNA (215 nucleotides) under uncultured bacterium. Its description in RNAcentral is "partial 16S ribosomal RNA". It matches the Rfam family "Bacterial small subunit ribosomal RNA", at positions 524 to 738 of the family's 1533-position model. The record is from RNAcentral.